Molecule: transfer RNA, 66 nt
Filed under: Desmaulus extinctorium
Lineage: Eukaryota; Metazoa; Mollusca; Gastropoda; Littorinimorpha; Calyptraeidae
Description: tRNA-Met
Source: RNAcentral
UACAAAAUAAGCUAAGAUUAAGCUAGUGGGCUCAUAACCCAAAAAUGAACCAAUGUUCUUUUGUAA